GGGAGCAAUGUUCAUGAGCAGGAUACAGUGCAGAGUAAUGCCACCCUGCAGGUUAAAAAAGGCCACAACGGCUCUGGCUCAGGCCAAGGUUAUCUCCCAGACAUCGAAGGACGCAAAACAAAGGCUGCAGACAAACAGAAAACAACCUUCAAACAAGGACCUUUAACGACCCUCCGGGCCUGCCAGCCUCCCGGCCUUCUUUUCUUCCGCUGAGCUGAGAGGUGCCAGGGAGAGAACCGAAGGUCAGAGCGGUUCCUCCUAGCUUGCGGUCUCCAAAACGGAGCGCUAAGGCCUGGGGACUUUGGGAGGCUGGCGCGUCGCUACUGCUCAUCGGGGAAUCACAAUCCCCUUAGCUAAAAAACAUUUAACUCUUCCUUUGCCAGCCAGUGGCACAACGGAGGUGGGGGCAGGGUGGUUUAUAAAUUGCUAAAGGCUUUGGCUCAAGACACAGCGAACCAAGAAAGCAGGGGCGCUAAUUAGGACCUGGGAAAGGUUAACAGCUGUCAGAGACGCCAGGCGAGAACUUCGCCUGUUUCCAGACUCACAUCUACCCGCCGACUUCAAGGAUGCGAACACCGGUGGUCGGGCUAGGAGUCCUGGGGAAGCGUGCACUCGGAAAAAACAUGGGUGACACCGGGCGCCCCCACUGCAUUACAAGGAUGCAAACAGGACACCCUCAGAGCCCGGGGAUCGGAAGAAGCGACAGGGAGAGGCAGAUGCGCAUUCACGGAAACACGGGAUAUCCCUAUUGCAGGACAAGGAUGCAAAUGUGACAUCCUCAAAGGGCCCACGGGCAACCGGGGCCCGGCUGUCCGGAGCUGACCGCAGUAUGGUGCGAUGGUACCCGGAGACGACCAGCAAGUUUCUGCCAGCCGCAGCUGCUCUUUCACGUGUUCCUCCUCAGGCUGCGAGCCAAUCACAAGCUGCGUCGGGAGGAAGUGGGAGCGCGGAUGUGCCCCCUCCGUGGUGUCCUCGCGAAGAGCCGCUGGCUCGCCAGGUUUCAGGAAACAGAGUGGUGCAGCCCAGAGGACGCACAGCAACCCCUGGCGGACACUUCUACAAAUAACACCAAGAACUACAAGAGCUGGGGGACCAGACCAUGGAGUUGACUCUCCGUGCUCGCAGCAGGGUUUUGCCUAUGUCAGAUGGUUGUGAGCCACCAUGUGGUUGCCAAGAUUUGAAUUCAAGACCUCUGGAAGAGCAGUCAGUGCUCUUAACCGCUGAGCCAUCUCUUCAGCCAAGGUUUUACUUCUUGAAACAACUGAUUUUCCGACCUUCCUGACCCAGAACAGUAAGCAAAACCACAAACAGAUAUUAUCAAACUGUCAUUUUCAAUGCUUCUCUGGAUGACUCAUUGCUUCCUGGUGGUCUUGGGCCUAAGUACUACACUUCGCACACUACACAUUGCUCUGAUUCAGAGGUGUGAAGGAGCUAUGCAGGUAUGGUAAGACUGAUUACAUUACUUUCUUUUUUUUUUUUUCUCGGAGCUGGGGACCAAAACCAGGGCCUUGCACUUGCUAGGCAAGCGCUCUACCACUGAGCUAAAUCCCCAACCCCUACAUUACUUUCUUAAAGGUUAGUUUAAUCAGACAAGCAAAGGACAUAGUACAGAGUUUGAGGUGAUCAAAAAGCAUGUGGUUAACUUGUCUAUGAUAUCAAAUUGGGUGCUGAGGAGGCCGUGUGAGCAAACACCAUCUGAGUAUCUUAUAAACUGAAAUUCCAAGGGAAAAAAACCCACAAGUGUCAGUGGUUCUUUAGUGCUGACUAAUUAGAACUUAGCAACUAUGGAAUGCUGUAGAUCUGGAGCCAAACUCUCUUGAGCUGUCUUUAGCACACUCCCCUGCCCCUUUGAGAAGUAGGGAGAAGCCUUCAUAAGAUCACUUCAUAAGCCAUGAGAAUGUUUAGCCUGUGACUAUCCUCAAAGGUCUCUUUUUGUCUUUAAGAAUUCUUCUAGGGGUUGGGGAUUUAGCUCAGUGGUAGAGCGCUUGCCUAGCAAGCGCAAGGCCCUGGGUUCGGUCCCCAGCUCCGAAAAAAAGAAAAAAAAAAAAAAGAAUUCUUCUGUGUUCAAUGUCAGCCCGUCAGUCGUCUUGGUGAACUUUAAACUAUUAUCUAUCUAUCUAUCUAUCAUCUGUUUAUCUAUCAUCUAGAUAUCUAUAUGCAUUCGCCUCACAAUUAGAAAUGAUGUGGUUAAUCAUAUGCUGCUGGAUAUUCUGUAUCUUCUUUUCAGAAAUACUUCUUCAUAUUCUUUGCCCAUUUUCAUUAGAUAGCCCUUCAACUUAGAUGGGCAUUUACCUCACGGAUUGUAAGGAUUUGAAAUACAUUCUUAGUUACAUGUGCACUCUGUACAUGAUUUUGCUCUGUGGAAGCACUUUGGCUUUACAAAACCUUCUUCCUUUUUUUUUUUUAAUUUUGUCUUAUUUACAUAUAAAUACAUAGUAACUGUUUUUACAUAGUAGCUGUCUUCAGACACACCAGAGGAGGGCAUUGGAUCCCAUUCCAGAUGGUUGUGAACCAUCAUGUGGUUGCUGGGGAUUGAUCUCAGGACCCCUGGAAGAGCAGUCAGUGCUCUUAACCACUGAGUCACCUCUCCAGCCCCAAAACCUUGUUCUUAUGUAUCUGCUUUUCUGUGUCUUUUGGUUUGUGUCACAAGAUUUGUUUUCUAAACAGGCAUGCUCCCUUCUGUUCUCGGUGACUGUGUAAAGCACUCGGUUGUCAUACUUAUGGCUUCAGUGCAUUUGAACGGUGUAUUUAUGAGUUGUAAGAAGAGGAUCUAAUCGCACUCCACUUUCUAAAAAAUAAACUUUAUUAUAAAAAGCUUGUAAAUGAUUAAAAAAAAAAUCAGCCCAGAACUGGGAAGCAGGCUCAGUGGGUAAGGAUGCAGUGCAAGUUAGACCUGAGUUUGAAUCUAAGACCUCCAUGUAAAAAGCCACUUGUGUGCCCAAGUGCAGGUAACAUCAGCCCUGUAGGAGGAGGCAGAGACAAAAACAUGACCGGGGCUUACUGGCUGCCAGUCCAGCUCCAAGCAGAGCCUUUUCCUAUGCCACAGAACGUGGGAGACACAGAUGAGGAGGGGAGAGAGCCUUGUUAGCUCAGCUAUGCAGAUUAAAUUGACUUGAGGACUAGAGACUGGGUACAGCCUUCAGAUUUACAUUUUAAAAGACAUAAUUCUGAUAGUGACUGCUUGUAAUUGGCUUGAAGAAAGGAUGUUAACCUGGAGAAGGGCUGGAGAGUACGUGGCAGAUUUUAGUUUGGUUUGAUUUAGUUGUUUUAGAUUCUAGAGACACUCACUGCCUUGCCUUAUACCUGAGCCUCACACUGAACUAGAGACCCUCCUGCCUUAGCUCCUUGCUAAGAGGGCACGGAGUUUACCUCACCUGAUGGAUUUGAGAAGGGAAUGUCUCGCUGGAUUGCUGUUACCGUGUUGAGAAAGGGAAGAAUAUUGCAGGACUCCAAGGUUUUCAGAAUUAUGGGCAGCUAGGUAGAUGGAACCCACAGGCCCGGAGCUGGGCAGUCUCAAGCACUUGACUGAUGGAAGCAGGAAAUGCUGACUGACGUUCUAGAUCUUUUGCUACAUAGUUUAUGGUCAGUCUGGGCUACAAGGCACCUGUAUCAAAACAAAUAAACAAAACCAAAACAGAAGAAAGAAUUAUAGGAGAAUGUGGUGGUUUGAAGGAGAAUGGCCCCCAUAGGUUCAUAUAUUUGAAUGCUUACUCACUAGGGAACAGCAUUAAAAAUAUUUGGAGGCGUGGCCUUGUUGGAGGAAGUGUGUCACUGGGGUAGAGGAUGGGUUUUGAGGUAUCCAAAGCCCAUGCUGGGCUCAGACUCAAUCUGCCUAGGGAUGGAGAUGUAGCCCUUACCUCCUGCUCCAGCAUCUGCCUGCAUGCUGUCAGGCUUCCCAUCCUGAUUUCCAUGAACUCCCCCUCUGAAACUGUAAGCAAGCCCUCCUCUUUCCGAAGAGUUGGCUUGGUCCUGGCGUCUCUUCACAGUGCUAACAGAGUGACUGAGGUGGAGGGGAAGGUCUGUGGGAGAGAAAGGUAAUAUGGAGAAGCUAUUUAAAGCCAACGUUUAAAAACUUGUGCUUUCUUCCUUCUUCUGAAAACUUGUGUUUCCAAGGGGACGUUCCGGCAGUCAGUUCAAUGUGUGGAUUUAGAUCUCAGGAGAGAUCUGAGGUGGAGAUUGAGAUCUGACUAUUUGAGAGACGGACCGAAUGAAAAGUGAGAAACCCAGAAGGGUAAAGGCCAGAAAUGACAAGCUGACGUAACCCACAGAAGAGCGGGCAGGGGAGGUCGGCUUGCGAGUCAGCUACGCGUUUUCCUGCCUUUUCACCUGUGGUAACGUGUUCUUACAGUUAACGGGGCUUUAAUGACUCAGUUGAAGAAUAGUGCCUGGCUGUUUGUUUGCCUUUUUAACUGUACCUUUGGGCUGAGGUGUGGAUUGAUGAAAGAUGACUCGCUUCACAUGCACAGGCUCUUUGGCGCCCAUUGUCAGCUCCGAAGAAUUUUUCUAAUUACACUUUUUUUCUUAUUUUUUGAGAACUGUAUACAUAUAUGCAUUAUAUAUAUAUACAUAUAUAUAUAUUAUGAUCAUAUCCAACCCCAUUUCCCUCCCCCAAAUCCUCUCCAGCAUGUCCUCUUCCUAACUUCAUGUUUUCCUCCCCAUCCUCCCCGUUCUGCCCCCCUCCCUCCUCCCCCUCCCCCCUCCUCCCCCUCCUCUUCUUCCUAACUCACUAAGUCUGACUAAUUAGUGCUGUCCAUAUGUGGACGAGUGUGGGCUCAGCCCCUGGAGCAUGGAACCUGUCAUUUGGAACACACUCAGAACAGUGAUUUUUCCUCUUCCAGAAGUUCCUUAGAAAGGCAGAAGGCCUGGAGAGCACCUUCCCCGUCUCUGCCUGAAUUCUGACUGGGCUGAUCUCGUGCAAGGCUUGCACCAAUAACCAUACUGCUGUAAGUCAGUGCGUGACAGCAAUGCCACCUCCAGAAGCCUUCCACAGCCCUCCUCCCCACCGCCCGGCUCUUACAUAUUUUCCUCUUCCUCUUCCGAGCUAUUUCCUGAGCCUUGUGGGUGGGGGAGGGUUGGCCGAGGUGGGGUAGGAGAGUGUGGGAAGACUUGAUAAAGGCACGUCGCGUUAAUUAGCUGGAAGCACUCAGUCUCUUAUUCUCAGGACUUUGAUCAAUUACGUCUCUGUGUUGACUGACUGCCCACUGCAAAAAAAAAAAAAAAAAAAAAAAAAGCUUCCAUGACCAGAAGCUUCUGUGACCAAGAGUGAGAGCAGCCCAUGUCUAUAGGUAUAAAUGUCAGUAUAUAGGUGGCAAUUUGACAACAUGACCUCUGAAGCAGAUAGCCAUAGAAGACUUUACCCUAGGACCUAGGACCUACUCUGCUAUGGCAUUUUGACUAGGAUUCUAGUAGAAAACAUGAACUGCAUAUUCUGGAACAGGGCUCAACCAAAUCCAAUCAGAAAGCAAUUAGUUCUCCCCCAUAGCAGCCAUGCUGAUUGAAGCUGGGGCACAUCCUGCCUGCCCAGUCAGCACUGGAGCACGGUAGGAGGCAGUGCUGAGUAAAUCCUUUGGUGUCUUUUCUCUCAGCAGCUCACAGAUCACCUUCUGGGAUUGGGAUCAGAAGGGGUGUGUGUGUGUGUGUGUGUGUGUGUGUGUGUGUGUGUGUGUGUGUGUGUGUGUUUGUAGGGUUUCAUUUUCGAGAUUUGCUUUUGAAGUUCAGACUGUAUUCUUACAGUGAACCGGAGCUCCCUUUUUCUUCACUACAGAGGCCUCACGAGUACCACACAAGCACUCUACUGCUAAGCAAUAUUCCUAGCUAUGUUCUGAAAUGUUUAUUCUGAGGUAAGGUCUAGUCGUUCAUCCUGGGAACUGGGACAUCUCCAGCAUCGGCCUCCCAGGUUCUGGAAUUAUAAGUGGAAGUCACAACACCCGGCGCUGCUUAUUUUUGCAACAUCUUCAUAUGAAUUAAAAUUCUAGCCAUUGAUUCUCAUCCCACCUACACGAAAGAUCUGCCUCACGAAAACAUAAACAUCAGCUAUGUAAGGUCAGCAGCUCAGCUCUGGGAGGAACAACCAGGCCCAGCGCACUGGCCCUUGGAACUUGACCUACUGAGCAUCGCUGGCUGUGGCAUUUUCAUUUGAUACCAUAACUCUAAAGGUAUUCAAUAUUUUUCAAAUUCUAGGGAGGCAUCACCUAAGAUGAAUCAAAAUAAUAAUGAUAAUCAUACAGAAAUGGUGGAAAGCACACAUUCAUAUCCACAAACUUAAUACUUUUUAACAGGUAAGGUUUUAAAAUAGUAAUAUUCUUUGCUGUAAACAUAAUUUUGUAAUUUCAGUUUGCAAAUUUGAGACUUUUAUUUGCUUAUUUCUAGACAGGAGUAGCCCAGGCUAGCCUAAAACUUACAAUCUUUUUGCUUCAUCUCCUUCAGUGCUGGGGUUACAGCUGGUUCCCAGCAUGCAGAACUAAGGUAAUCUAUUAAACCUGUGAUUUUGAUAAUCAUGAGCCUGUUGUGGUAGUUGGUAAAUAUUUGUAGCCCCAACACUCAUGAAGUAGAGGCAGGAUGCUCAGAAGCUCAGUGCAAACAUUAAAUACGUAGUCAGUCAGAGGCUAGCCUGAGCUACAUGAGACCCUGUGAUGGUUUGUAUAUGCUCUGUCCAGGGACGGACACUUUUAGAAGGUGUGUCACAGUCAGUGUGUGGACUUAAGACCCUCACCCUAGCUUCCUGGAAGUCAGUAUUGGGCUAGCAGCCUUCAGAUGAAGGUGUAGAACUCUCAGCUCUGCCUGCACCGUGCCUGCCUGGAUGCUGCCAUGCUCCCACCUUGAUGAUAAUGGACUGAACCUCUGAACCUGUAAGCCAGCUCCAAAUACAUGUUGUCCUUUAUAAGAGGUCAUGGUGUCUGUUCGCAGCAGUAAAACCUUAAGGUGGAAGUUGGUACCAGGGACUGGGGUAUUGCUGGGAUAAGCCUGACCAUGCUUUGGUUUGGAGGAAUGGGAUUUGGGGGCUUGGGAAAGCAGUGGGAUGCUUUAAGUUGGGCUUAUGGGGCUAUCCUAGUAGGAAUAUGGAAGACUUUGUUGCUGAGUGUGAUUUGAACUGUGCAUACCUGGCCCAAGAAGUUUUAGUGGAGGAGAAUUUCAGACUGUGGCCUAGAGACUUGUUUCUGUGAUAUUUUGGUGACGAAUGUAGCUGCUUUUUGCCCUUGUCUGAAGCGUCUACCUGAGGCUAAGGUAAAGAGAUUUAUAUUAAUUGCAUUAACAAAGAAAGUCUCAAAAAAGCCCAGCAGAGACCGUGUUCUCUGGUUAAGUCUCAUGAAGAGUGUUUUGAACAAGCAUAGCAAGCUUAAAAAGGAAAAAUAUAAAAUAUAUGGUUCAAGUAUUAAAGGGCACCAGCAAGUGGAAUGGAACUGAAUCCUAUUCUAGGAGAUAACAGGUUAAGGGAUUUGGGGUCAAGAUCCCACCCAGAUAAAUUUACGUGGAGGCAUGAUGGUAUACACCUUUAAUCCCAGGAGACAAAACCAAACAGAUCUCUGGUUCAAGGCCAGCCUGGGACAAAGCAGGUUCUAAGUGAAGAAAAGCUUAAAGCCAGGCGCGGUGGUACACACCCUUAAUCCCAGCAAUACCAGAGACAGAGACAUGCAGCUCUCUGAGUUCAAGGUCAAUCUACAGAGCAAAUUCCAGGAAAGCCAAGCUUAGGCAGAGAGGGAAUCGCAGAAACAGAAAGCUGGUAAUAGAAUAAGGGGGCCAUGUUCCAGGUCCUGCAAGCAGCAGAACUCCGCCGUGUGGCUCUGACUUUAGAGUGAAAAAUAGAAAGGAUGAUUGAUGCUGGUUAGCUGAAGCUAAGAAAUUAGUGGUAAUUAAGAGCCCAGCAUCACUGAGGUGAAAUCUUUUGGGAAGUGUCUUCUGAGCGCACAAAGAAGCCGUGUUCCAGAAAUAGCCAAGGUUGUACCUCAUGCUGCAGCUGGACUUGGUAUUGUGUAAGAGUUACCCAGGUGGUACUGGUUUUGAAGGCAUGAAGGGGUCAUGAAUAGCAGCUGAGUCUUGGCACCGUGAGAGGCCAUGGAAGGCCACUGGGGAAGGUGCAGCUUCAGUUGCAGUUGAUGGCCCAGGACUGAAGGGGUCAUGCAAAGAAUUUGAGGCUUGGCACUGUGAAGAGAGCCUGCGAGAGGCUAUUGGUAAAGCCUAGUUGCAGUGGAAAGACCCCACAAGGCAGAACAGAAGAAAUCUUAGGCCAAUCUGAUCUAGGCAGCAAGUCUAAGACCUCCAGAGCCAUACAGUGAGACCUUGUCUCAAACACUCACCCAUAAGCCAAGCUCUAACUUCAGAACUUGGGAGCAGGUGGAGACGGGAGAAUUAGGAACUUAAGGUCAUUCUUGGCUACAUAGUGAACUCAAGGUUAGCCUGGGCUACAUGAAAAUCAGUCUCAAAAUACAAACAAACAAACCAAGUGCACAGAUGGGUUUAUAAGGUCGUGUCCCCAUUCUCAGGAGUAGUAAUGUGUUGUUCGCUCCUUCAUUUCUCACCUUGCUGAAGAUAAGGCAAUAAUAAAAGCACGAUCACCAAUAAGAGAAGGCUUUUAAUUUGGAAUAAUGAAAUGGUAUAAUUUGAAAUACUGAUCAUGAUCUUAAUCAUACAAUAGUAUGUGUAACGACUGUUUAAUCUUCUGGGAAGAAGCGUGCAAAAUGUGAAUGAAAAAAAAUUAAAGAGAAUUAUGUCUAGUGGAGGAGGAGGAAAUAGCCCAAUAUUUUAAUGGCUUCCAUAAAACAAGUUCAACUGGGGGUGAAAAGGGUGGAACUAAUGAACCCGAACGUUUCCCUUUACAGCCGUGACUGUACCAAGCCCCACGGCGAUCUCGAUAGUGCUCGCUGGGGAAACAUUUUCUCCUUUACGUAUAUUGACCAAAAUUACCUCUCAAUUACAGAUAAUUAGUAUAGUUAUAACGCUUUGUGUGUUCCAGUUGUACAAAAAAAAAAAAAAAAAAAAAAAAAAAAAACGAGAGCAGUGUGGUAGGAUUCAAGUUAUCUGAGGCUGGGGAUGAUGCACAAUUGGUAGAGUGCUUGCCUCUCACCCAUGAAGCCCUGUUUAACCCCAGCACAGCACAGCACAGACAGGCACGGUGGUGCCCAUCUGCAGAUCCCAGUGAAAGACCCCCUCCCAGAAAGGGAAUUGUACAAGCCCAAGGCCCUCACUAUAGAAGUAAAAAGUAAGUUUUUAGAUACACAGACUCAGAACUAAAAUAAGCCUGGGAAAAUUCAGAUGUGUCCAAGCUUUGUGGGACAAGCUGACCCAUCAUUUAGACGAAACAGACCAUAAAAGAAAACAAAAUGCAGAAACCAGACUAAAUUAUGAGCAUUGCUCCAUGGGCCACCUGGCAGGAAAAAGAAACAGUCCCUGACCCCCCCGGAAGCCCUGACCACCAUGUACUUUUUGCUAACUCACUGUUAUGAUUAUAGCCAAAAUAGGUAACAUACACGUAUGCCUGAUUUACUCCACCAAUCACAUCCCUGUAACCAUGCAUCUGCUUCUGUAAGCCUGCUUCUGCUCCCCAAUGCCCUAUAAAAACCCGUCCCUGGUUCUGCUAGGAGCGCCAGUCUUCCGAAUUGACUGGGAUGCCCACAGAUACCUGUGUAUCCUGAUCAAUAAAAAUCCUCUUGCAGAUUUCA
Rattus norvegicus (Norway rat) is the source of this 9656-nucleotide non-coding RNA. NCBI's taxonomy places the organism in Eukaryota, Metazoa, Chordata, Mammalia, Rodentia, Muridae. The record is from RefSeq and is a predicted model, not a curated record.